ACCUGGGUAGCUCAGUUAUUAAGCAUCUGACUUCGGCUCAGGUCAUGGUCUCACGGUUUGUGAGUUCGAGUCCCACAUCAGGUG
RNAcentral lists this transfer RNA (84 nucleotides) under Felis catus (domestic cat). It matches the Rfam family "tRNA". Rfam says of the family: Transfer RNA (tRNA) molecules are approximately 80 nucleotides in length. Lineage: Eukaryota; Metazoa; Chordata; Mammalia; Carnivora; Felidae. The record is from Rfam by way of RNAcentral. RNAcentral also lists the same sequence under 2 other names.